GAUGAACGCUGGCGGCGUGCCUAAUACAUGCAAGUCGAGCGAACAGACGAGGAGCUUGCUCCUCUGACGUUAGCGGCGGACGGGUGAGUAACACGUGGAUAACCUACCUAUAGGACUGGGAUAACUUCGGGAAACCGGAGCUAAUACCGGAUAAUAUAUUGAACCGCAUGGUUCAAUAGUGAAAGACGGUUUUGCUGUCACUUAUAGAUGGAUCCGCGCCGCAUUAGCUAGUUGGUAAGGUAACGGCUUACCAAGGCAACGAUGCGUAGCCGACCUGAGAGGGUGAUCGGCCACACUGGAACUGAGACACGGCCCAGACUCCUACGGGAGGCAGCAGUAGGGAAUCUUCCGCAAUGGGCGAAAGCCUGACGGAGCAACGCCGCGUGAGUGAUGAAGGUCUUCGGAUCGUAAAACUCUGUUAUUAGGGAAGAACAAAUGUGUAAGUAACUAUGCACGUCUUGACGGUACCUAAUCAGAAAGCCACGGCUAACUACGUG
This 497-nucleotide ribosomal RNA is filed under the name uncultured bacterium. Its description in RNAcentral is "partial 16S ribosomal RNA". It matches the Rfam family "Bacterial small subunit ribosomal RNA", at positions 28 to 507 of the family's 1533-position model. The record is from RNAcentral.